This 2838-nucleotide ribosomal RNA is filed under the name Faecalibacterium prausnitzii. RNAcentral's name for it is "23S ribosomal RNA". It matches the Rfam family "Bacterial large subunit ribosomal RNA". The record is from RNAcentral. Lineage: Bacteria; Bacillati; Bacillota; Clostridia; Eubacteriales; Oscillospiraceae.
AGGUCAAGCGAACAAGGGCGCAGGGCGAAUGCCUUGGCACUGGGAGCCGAUGAAAGACGUGAUAAGCUGCGAUAAGCUUCGGGGAGCUGCAAAUAAGCAUUGAUCCGGAGAUUUCUGAAUGAGGAAACUCACCUGGGUUCAUACUCAGGUACGUUAUACUGAACUUAAAAAUAGGUAUAUCGAGGGAACCGCCUGAACUGAAACAUCUAAGUAGGGCGAGGAAGAGACAUCAAACGAGAUUCCGUAAGUAGUGGCGAGCGAACGCGGAAGAGGGCAAACCGGGAGUAGAAAUACUCCCGGGGUACGGACUGCUUUUAGGACUCAAUCUGUUAACCGAACGGCAUGGGAAGGCCGGUCAGAGAGUGUGAGAACCACGUAGGUGAAAACGGAGAGAGCUGCGCAGGAUCCAGAGUACGGCCAGACACGUGAAACCUGGUCGGAAUACGGGGGGACCACCCUCCAACCCUAAAUACUACCCAGUGACCGAUAGCGUAUAGUACUGUGAAGGAAAGGUGAAAAGCACCCCGGGAGGGGAGUGAAAAAGAACCUGAAACCCUGUGCCUACAAGCACCUAGAGCACGUCAAUGUGUGAUAGGGUACUUUUUGUAGAACGGUCCGGCGAGCGAUUGUAUGCAGCAAGGUUAAGGACUUAAGGUCUGGAGCCGAAGCGAAAGCGAGUUUGAAAAGGGCGUUAAGUUGCAUACAAUGGGCCCGAAACCGGGUGACCUACCCAUGGUCAGGUUGAAGUGGAAGUAAAAUUCCAUGGAGGACCGAACCGACCUCCGUUGAAAAGGCGGCGGAUGAACUGUGGGUAGCGGAGAAAUUCCAAUCGAACCCGGAGAUAGCUGGUUCUCCCCGAAAUAGUUUUAGGACUAGCCUCAAGUUAGAUACCUGGAGGUAAAGCACUGAAUAGCCUAGCGGCCGAGAGGUUAGCGAAGCUUAUCAAACUCAGAAUGCCAGAGUAUUGAUGCUUGGGAGUCAGACAGUGUCAGAUAAAUGUCAUUGUCAAAAGGGAAACAGCCCAGAUCUACAGCUAAGGUCCCAAAGUCAGGUUAAGUGGAAAACGAUGUGAAGAUACGUAGACAACCAGGAUGUUGGCUCAGAAGCAGCCACACAUUCAAAGAGUGCGUAAUAGCUCACUGGUCGAGCGUCUUUGCGCGGAGAAUUUAACGGGGCUAAACCUGACACCGAAGCUUAGGCAAUACAGCAAUGUAUUGGGUAGGGGAGCGUUGUAUACGCGGUGAAACAGUAGCGCAAGCGGCUGUGGAGUGUAUAGAAGUGAGAAUGCCGGAAUGAGUAGCGCGAAUGCAGUGAGAAUCUGCAUGGCCGAAAGCCUCAGGUUUCUGGAGGAAGGUUCGUCCGCUCCAGGUUAGUCGGGAGCUAAGGUGAGGCCUAACGGCGUAGCCGAUGCACAGACGGUAGAGAUUCCGUCACCACCAAAAGAGUUAAACACAGGGACACAUUUGAAGUCUCGGAGCCGGGUGUUGGUUCCGGUAGCGAUCGAGGGAAGUUAGUACCGAAGUCCGGGAUGGAAGAUGGCGAGAAAAGCUGUGUGUAUUUCUGCGGUGCCCGUACCGCAAACCGACACAGGUAGGUAGGAAGAAGAUUCUAAGGCCAACGGGAGAAGGGUUGUUAAGGAACUCGGCAAAUUGACCCCGUAACUUCGGGAGAAGGGGUGCUCCAGAGAUGGAGCCGCAGAGAAUCGGCCCAAGCAACUGUUUACCAAAAACACAGGUUUGUGCUAAAUCGAAAGAUGACGUAUACGAGCUGACGCCUGCCCGGUGCUGGAAGGUUAAGAGGAGAUGUGCAAGCAUUGAAUCGAAGCCCCAGUGAACGGCGGCCGUAACUAUAACGGUCCUAAGGUAGCGAAAUUCCUUGUCAGGUAAGUUCUGACCCGCAUGAAAGGCGUAAUGAUUUGGGCACUGUCUCGACAGCCCGCCCGGCGAAAUUGUAGUACCGGUGAAGAUGCCGGUUACCCGCGACAAGACGGAAAGACCCCAUGGAGCUUUACUGUAGCCUAAUAUUGGGUUUCGAUGUUGCAUGCACAGGAUAGAUGGGACACAGGGAAACAAGUGCUUUGGCAUUUGUGGAGUGGCCGUUGGGAUACCAUCCUUGCGAUAUUGGAAUUCUAACCUGCGCCUUUGAAUCAAGGCGGGGGACAUUGUUAGGUGGGCAGUUUGACUGGGGCGGUCGCCUCCUAAAGAGUAACGGAGGCGUUCAAAGGUUCGCUCAGCUUGAACGGAAAUCAAGCAAAAGAGUGCAAACGCAGAAGCGAGCCUAACUGCGAGACUGACGGGUCGAGCAGUAACGAAAGUUGGAGUUAGUGAUCCGGUGGUAUGUGAGUGGAAAUGCCAUCGCUCAACGGAUAAAAGUUACCCUGGGGAUAACAGGCUGAUCUCCCCCAAGAGUCCACAUCGACGGGGAGGUUUGGCACCUCGAUGUCGGCUCAUCGCAUCCUGGGGCUGUAUUCGGUCCCAAGGGUUUGGCUGUUCGCCAAUUAAAGCGGUACGCGAGCUGGGUUCAGAACGUCGUGAGACAGUUCGGUCCCUAUCUGUCGUGGGCGCAGGAUAUUUGAUGGGAGCUGUUCCUAGUACGAGAGGACCGGAGCGGACGUACCUCUGGCGCACCAGUUGUUCUGCCAAGGGCAUAGCUGGGCAACUAUGUACGGAUCGGAUAAACGCUGAAAGCAUCUAAGCGUGAAGCCGACCCAAAGAUAAGAUAUCCCAUUGUUUCAAACAAGUAAGACCCCUUGAAGACUACAAGGUUGAUAGGCACGAUGUGUAAGUGGAGUGAUCCAUUCAGCAAGCGUGUACUAAUAGGUCGAGGGCUUGACCACAA